GUCAUCGUCGUACACAGUUUUUAACACAUACCUGUACCAAUGACUAUUAAAUCAAAUUCCGUGGGCAAUGAAUCGUCCGCAGUCGACAUGCUGAACUCAAGUGAUUAGUCACUAUUUGCAUAUUUCAACACGCAAUGACGUUUUGACAGGUUCUGUGUUAUCGACGUCAUAUACAUUUUUUUUCGCUUUUUCUCUGCACAUUGACAACCAAAUUGAGUUUAAAACACAACAGCGAAAACUAUGGCUCUGGGCAAAUAUCGUUCACCAAUUUCCAUUGGAUUCAUCUUUGUGUCCGCUGCAACGUUCUUUAGUUUUCGCAAUGAAUUAUUCAACACAAACCUAGAAGAACAGCGUAAACAGUUGUACGGCGAUCCAGAAGAACAAAAAAAAUCGUUCGAAGCCGUUUGCAAAGAAAUGAAUGUUCCAUCUAACAAGUUUUUUUAAACGAAAUGAAUCGUGUAGAGAUUAUUUGAAAUAAAAAAUCAUUUUUUUUUUGUUAAAAUACAAAACUACA
Molecule: long non-coding RNA, 514 nt
Organism: Contarinia nasturtii (swede midge)
Lineage: Eukaryota; Metazoa; Arthropoda; Insecta; Diptera; Cecidomyiidae
Exons: 3
Source: RefSeq, a predicted model, not a curated record